UACCUACAUUGUGUUACCUAUAUGAAUAAAUGAUUUCUGGCUUGACUUGACUUGUUAUAAUGAUAAUAGUCUUUUGAAUGCUUAUGUUUUUAUACAGUUUACAUUACAGUAAUGCUCACUAGAUGUCGGAUGUAAGCCUUCAACGUUUUCCCACUUUACCUAGCCACACAUUUAUUGCGUUAUGUGAACGUGUUUUAUUUUAAUUUUUAUUAUAAAUAAAGGGCUUAAUUUAUAAUUAUACAUUUUGAUAUCACCUUGCAUUGUUAAUUAUUACUGCAACAAAACAGGCAAUUACUCCGAUAAGGUCUUAUCAAAGCAUUGUUUAUACCUAUUAUGACUUUUUUAUUUUUUGUGGGCGAACUGUUAUAAAUUGGCUUUGAUUCGAAAAAAUUCUAUUGGCCUACCGAUACCAGCCCAACUACAAUGAAAAGUUUUCUAUUAUUCACAGUUUUUGCUUCAAUAACUCUACAGCUAUGCGUUUGUUCCCAUAAAAAAUUAAAGACAACAACCGAGGCGGCAGAAAGUACAACACAAGAAGCAACUGUCACUAACCCUAUGACAGAUGCGGCGCCAAAUGUCGAGGUUAAAUCUGAAGCUGUACCCGCAAGCCCACAGGUCAUCGAUAUAGUGACGUAAACAUAGUAAUUUCGAAUAUGAUGUAACAAUGUAAAUUGACUUGAAUAAAAAAGACCAUACGAUGCUUA
Pieris napi is the source of this 704-nucleotide long non-coding RNA. RefSeq lists it as uncharacterized. The record is from RefSeq and is a predicted model, not a curated record. The transcript is spliced from 4 exons. NCBI's taxonomy places the organism in Eukaryota, Metazoa, Arthropoda, Insecta, Lepidoptera, Pieridae.